UCGCCGCCGGCGACGUCGCGAGAAGUCCACUGAACCUUAUCAUUUAGAGGAAGGAGAAGUCGUAACAAGGUUUCCGUAGGUGAACCUGCGGAAGGAUCAUUGUCGAUGCCUGCAAAGCAGAACGACCCGCGAACCGUUUCUCAACACUCGGGGCACGGGAGGGCGUUCAUUCGGCCCGCCCGGUACCCCGGCGCUCCGGACGCUGGGGGUGGUGCGAGCCACCCCCGGCGGAGGGAGCAUCAAACAAAACCCCGGCGUGCAAAGCGCCAAGGUACUCCAACGGUAGGGCAAGCACCCGAACGCCUGGACUCCAGCGCGAUCGGGCGUCUGUUCGGAAUCAUAAGUCUAAACGACUNNNGUGUGAAUUGCAGAAUCCCGUGAACCAUCGAGUCUUUGAACGCAAGUUGCGCCCGAAGCCUCGGCUGAGGGCACGCCUGCCUGGGUGUCACACGUCGCCUCGCCUCCAAAACCUUCCCCCCUGUUGUGGUGAUGGUACGGAUGCGGAAGAUGGCCUCCCGUGACCACGAGCCACGGAUGGCCCAAGUCUCUGCUGGGGGAGCGAAGCGCCACGGCUUUCGGUGGUCGGCACUGCCCUCGAGGCAAUCARUCAAUCAAGCCCGUGGCAGCCGCGACRGCCCCCGGUGUACGACCCUAAUGAUCAAAACAACCAACGCGACCUCAGGUCAGGCGGG
This 692-nucleotide ribosomal RNA is filed under the name Combretum mkuzense. RNAcentral describes it as "eukaryotic LSU rRNA". The stretch from base 1 to 102 matches the Rfam family "Eukaryotic small subunit ribosomal RNA". Lineage: Eukaryota; Viridiplantae; Streptophyta; Magnoliopsida; Myrtales; Combretaceae. The record is from RNAcentral.